AACGAGAAAGUGGAGCAUCCAUGAGUACAGUGGCGUACGGGUGAGUAACACGUGGGUAAUCUGCCUUUUAGUGAGGAAUAACGAUGGGAAACCGUCGCUAAUACCGCAUAAGCCCGAGAGGGGAAAGCAGCAAUGCGCUGAAAGAGGAGCCCGCGGCCGAUUAGCUAGUUGGUAGGGUAAGAGCCUACCAAGGCAUAGAUCGGUAGCCGGCCUGAGAGGGCACACGGCCACACUGGCACUGAAACACGGGCCAGACUCCUACGGGAGGCAGCAGUGGGGAAUCUUGCACAAUGGGGGCAACCCUGAUGCAGCGACGCCGCGUGAGCGAUGAAGCCCUUCGGGGUGUAAAGCUCUUUCGGCAGGGAAGAUUAUGACGGUACCUGCAGAAGCAGCUGCGGCUAACUACGUGCCAGCAGCCGCGGUAAUACGUAGGCAGCGAGCGUUGUUCGGAGUUACUGGGCGUAAAGGGUGUGUAGGCGGUUCCUUAAGUUUGGUGUGAAAUCUCCCGGCUCAACCGGGAGGGUGCGCCGAAUACUGAGGGACUAGAGUGUGGGAGAGGAAAGUGGAAUUCCUGGUGUAGCGGUGAAAUGCGUAGAUAUCAGGAGGAACACCGGUGGUGUAGACGGCUUUCUGGACCAUAACUGACGCUGAGACACGAAAGCGUGGGUAGCAAACAGGAUUAGAUACCCUGGUAGUCCACGCCCUAAACGAUGCAUAUUUUGGUGUGGGUCAUUCAGUUGAUCCGUGCCGGAGCUAACGCGUUAAAUAUG
RNAcentral lists this ribosomal RNA (770 nucleotides) under uncultured bacterium. RNAcentral's name for it is "bacterial SSU rRNA". It matches the Rfam family "Bacterial small subunit ribosomal RNA", at positions 65 to 868 of the family's 1533-position model. The record is from RNAcentral.